This 315-nucleotide ribosomal RNA is filed under the name uncultured bacterium. RNAcentral describes it as "bacterial SSU rRNA". It matches the Rfam family "Bacterial small subunit ribosomal RNA", at positions 478 to 793 of the family's 1533-position model. The record is from RNAcentral.
GCUGCAGAAGAAGCACCGGCUAACUCCGUGCCAGCAGCCGCGGUAAUACGGAGGGUGCGAGCGUUAAUCGGAAUUACUGGGCGUAAAGCGCAUGCAGGUGGUUUGUUAAGUCAGAUGUGAAAGCCCGGGGCUCAACCUCGGAAUUGCAUUUGAAACUGGCAAACUAGAGUACUGUAGAGGGGGUAGAAUUUCAGGUGUAGCGGUGAAAUGCGUAGAGAUCUGAAGGAAUACCGGUGGCGAAGGCGGCCCCCUGGACAGAUACUGACACUCAGAUGCGAAAGCGUGGGGAGCAAACAGGAUUAGAUACCCUGGUAG